Molecule: ribosomal RNA, 446 nt
Filed under: uncultured bacterium
Lineage: Bacteria
Description: partial 16S ribosomal RNA
Rfam family: Bacterial small subunit ribosomal RNA
Source: RNAcentral
CCUACGGGAGGCAGCAGUCGAGAAUCAUUCACAAUGGGGGAAACCCUGAUGGUGCGACGCCGCGUGGGGGAAUGAAGGUCUUCGGAUUGUAAACCCCUGUCAUGUGGGAGCAAAUUAAAAAGAUAGUACCACAAGAGGAAGAGACGGCUAACUCUGUGCCAGCAGCCGCGGUAAUACAGAGGUCUCAAGCGUUGUUCGGAAUCACUGGGCGUAAAGUGUGCGUAGGCUGUUUCGUAAGUCGUGUGUGAAAGGCGCGGGCUCAACCCGCGGACGGCACAUGAUACUGCGAGACUAGAGUAAUGGAGGGGGAACCGGAAUUCUCGGUGUAGCAGUGAAAUGCGUAGAUAUCGAGAGGAACACUCGUGGCGAAGGCGGGUUCCUGGACAUUAACGGACGCUGAGGCACGAAGGCCAGGGGAGCGAAAGGGAUUAGAUACCCCAGUAGUC